UGGGGAAUAUUGGACAAUGGAGGCAACUCUGAUCCAGCAAUUCUGUGUGUGUGAAGAAGGUUUUAGGACUGUAAAACACUUUUAGUAGGGAAGAAAGAAAUGACGGUACCUACAGAAGAAGCGACGGCUAAAUACGUGCCAGCAGCCGCGGUAAUACGUAUGUCGCGAGCGUUAUCCGGAAUUAUUGGGCUUAAAGGGCAUCUAGGUGGUUAAACAAGUUGAAGGUGAAAACCUGUGGCUCAACCAUAGGCUUGCCUACAAAACUGUAUAACUAGAGUACUGGAAAGGUGGGUGGAACUACACGAGUAGAGGUGAAAUUCGUAGAUAUGUGUAGGAAUGCCGAUGAUGAAGAUAACUCACUGGACAGCAACUGACGCUGAAGUGCGAAAGCUAGGGGAGCAAACAGG
This 407-nucleotide ribosomal RNA is filed under the name Verrucomicrobiota bacterium. RNAcentral describes it as "Verrucomicrobia bacterium partial 16S ribosomal RNA". It matches the Rfam family "Bacterial small subunit ribosomal RNA", at positions 355 to 776 of the family's 1533-position model. Lineage: Bacteria; Pseudomonadati; Verrucomicrobiota. The record is from RNAcentral.